Beta vulgaris subsp. vulgaris (sugar beet) is the source of this 92-nucleotide non-coding RNA. The record is from Rfam. Lineage: Eukaryota; Viridiplantae; Streptophyta; Magnoliopsida; Caryophyllales; Amaranthaceae.
AAAGUAGCGAUGAUUGAAAACAAUUCCUCGUACUGAAAUGCUAUUUUUAUGGCAUGAUAGACUCAUCUAUACACCCAUAGAAUAUGAGCGCU